AAAUUUACAAUGUAUUUUUUUUAAGUUACAGUGUAAUUUAUGAAACUUACAUUGUAACUUUUGUAAGUUAUAGUAUAAUUUUUGAAUCUUCACAUGCAAGUUUUGAAAUUUAUAUUGGAUUUGGUUUUUUUCUUGAAGAUAUGGUAACUUAGAGUCCAUUAUGAUGUUCUUAGUUGCUUUUUGC
Molecule: small nuclear RNA, 184 nt
Filed under: Oryza sativa Indica Group (long-grained rice)
Lineage: Eukaryota; Viridiplantae; Streptophyta; Magnoliopsida; Poales; Poaceae
Also listed under: 1 other name
Description: U2 spliceosomal RNA
Source: RNAcentral